CUUUUAUGAGGGAAGAAAGUGACAUGGUUAAUAACCAUGUUACGUGACGGUACCUCAUGAAUAAGCCCCGGCUAACUCCGUGCCAGCAGCCGCGGUAACACGGAGGGGGCAAGCGUUGUUCGGAAUUACUGGGCGUAAAGGGCGUGUAGGCUGCUUAGCAGGUCAGAUGUGAAAUCCCAGGGCUCAACUCUGGAAUUGCGUUUGAAACCGUUAAGCUUGAGGCUAGAAGAGGAAAGCGGAAUUCCUGGUGUAGCGGUGAAAUGCGUAGAUAUCAGGAGGAACACCGGUGGCGAAAGCGGCUUUCUAGGCUAGUACUGACGCUGAUGCGCGAAAGCGUGGGGAGCGAACGGGAUUAGAUACCCCGGUAGUCCACGCCGUAAACGUUGAGCACUAGGUGUAGCGGGUAUCGACCCCUGCUGUGCCGCAGCAAACGCAUUAAGUGCUCCGCCUGGGGAUUACGCACGCAAGUGUAAAACUCAAAGGAAUUGACGGGGCCCCGCACAAGCGGUGGAGUAUGUGGUUUAAUUCGAUGCAACGCGAAGAACCUUACCAGGGCUUGACAUGUCGGUUUUAGGGAUCCGAAAGGUGACCGACCCUUCGGGGAGCCAUCACAGGUGCUGCACGGCUGUCGUCAGCUCGUGUCGUGAGAUGUUGGGUUGAGUCCCGCAACGAGCGCAACCCCUACCCUUAGUUGCCAUCAGUUCGGCUGGGAACUCUAGGGGAACUGCCGGUGACAAACCGGAGGAAGGUGGGGAUGACGUCAAGUCAUCAUGGCCCUUAUGUCCUGGGCUACACACGUACUACAAUGACCGGUACAAUGAGUCGCAAUACUGUGAAGUGGAGCCAAUCUCAAAAAACCGGCCUCAAUUCAGAUUGGAGUCUGCAACUCGACUCCAUGAAGUUGGAAUCGCUAGUAAUCGCGGAUCAGCAUGCCGCGGUGAAUCCGUUCCCGGGGCUUGUACACACCGCCCGUCACACCACGAAAGUUGGUUGCACUAGAAGUCGUCGGGCUAACCGCAAGGAAGCAGACGC
This 1032-nucleotide ribosomal RNA is filed under the name uncultured organism. RNAcentral's name for it is "bacterial SSU rRNA". It matches the Rfam family "Bacterial small subunit ribosomal RNA", at positions 433 to 1456 of the family's 1533-position model. The record is from RNAcentral.